This 72-nucleotide transfer RNA is filed under the name Candidatus Wolfebacteria bacterium RIFCSPHIGHO2_01_FULL_48_22. RNAcentral's name for it is "tRNA-Arg". It matches the Rfam family "tRNA". Rfam says of the family: Transfer RNA (tRNA) molecules are approximately 80 nucleotides in length. Their secondary structure includes four short double-helical elements and three loops (D, anti-codon, and T loops). RNAcentral also lists the same sequence under 1 other name. Lineage: Bacteria; Candidatus Wolfeibacteriota. The record is from RNAcentral.
GCUCCCGUAGUUUAAUGGAUAAAACAUCUCCCUUCUAAGGAGAGAAUAGGGGUUCGAUUCCCUUCGGGAGCA